AGCACCCGGGUGGGGAGGGGCUCCGGCCGGGGCUCGGGGUCGGGCUUGUUUGCUCGGCGAAACCGGCGGGAAGCAGCCAGGCGAAUGCCCCGCGCCGCUGAGGUCCCGGGGGCCCAAGAGCGGAGACGCGGCCGACCAAGUCGGGCCGGUCCAGGGCCCGGGCCCCUCCCCCACCCCGGCCGCCCCCGCCUGCAAGCGCUGAACUUGUUCCCAAGUCCCGCCGGACGCCGUCACCACCCGCAGCCGGAGCGACCUCACUUGGGGGCCUGAGAAGCACUGGACUCCAAUCCCGGCUCCGUUCCAGCUCCGGACCCCUCCGUCCCCCUCCCCACCCUCUCCCGGUGGUCCUGGGGCAAGCCGCGCGCUGCGGUGCAGGAAAGUGACGACCUCCCUACCCAACUCAGGCGGGGGCGGACGUGGGUGGGCUCGCGCUUCGAAACAGCCCCCUCCGUCUCCCUGCCUCGGGAGGCGGGGGUGCGGGAACGGGUGACAGCUGCGCGGAUAUCGCCCUCCCCCUCCGCGGGCGCGUCUGAGUGCCCACGCGGGUCUGAGUACCAACCCGGACGCGGGGGAGGAUGGACUAAGGGAUCCGAUCAGAGUCGCUGGGACUCCUAGCUCCGAACCACGGAAGGCCAGGCACCGGGACCCGGGUUCGAGGCUGCGCUAACCCCCUCCGCGCCCGGGGGCGACGCAAAGUUUUGGGAAGUUGCUACCCCUACCUUGCUUGAUAAACAACCCGCGACUGCAGCGCCCACCCCCGCCCGCUUCCCGGCUCUCGACCCGGCUUCUCCAAGGCCUGCCGGUGCUUCCCGCUCUGGGGCAGCGCCCUACGUCCCUGGACCCUCCACCUGUGAGCAGCCGGGCCUGCGGACCAUCCUGAGGUGCCGGCCAUGAUCUUUGAUUUCACAAUCCACUAUACUUGUAUGCUGUGGACAUGCUGUGAAUAUAGGACCCUGGAUGUCCUAGAGAGAGACAGUGGAGAUGGUCUUCAAGAACCUCUUGCUUUGGUCUGGUUAAGACCAGGGCAAGCCAGGCCAAAGGGUAAAGGUUGAAACUGAUUGUGUUUUAAAACUUCAACUUCCAUAUGAGACCAAGGGAAUAGAUAUCUAUUUGGUACAGGAUCUAAAUUUUCUA
This is a long non-coding RNA of Choloepus didactylus (southern two-toed sloth), 1134 nucleotides long. RefSeq lists it as uncharacterized. The record is from RefSeq and is a predicted model, not a curated record. The transcript is spliced from 3 exons. NCBI's taxonomy places the organism in Eukaryota, Metazoa, Chordata, Mammalia, Pilosa, Megalonychidae.